This 463-nucleotide ribosomal RNA is filed under the name uncultured bacterium. RNAcentral describes it as "partial 16S ribosomal RNA". It matches the Rfam family "Bacterial small subunit ribosomal RNA", at positions 28 to 507 of the family's 1533-position model. The record is from RNAcentral.
GACGAACGCUGGCGGCGUGCUUAACACAUGCAAGUCGAGCGGUAAGGCCCUUCGGGGUCCCCGAGCGGCGAACGGGUGAGUAACACGUGAGUAAUCUGCCCAUCACUUCGGGAUAACUCCGGGAAACCGGUGCUAAUACCGAAUAUGACCACUUCAGGCAUCUGAUGGUGGUGGAAAGUUCCGGCGGUGAUGGAUGAGCUCGCGGCCUAUCAGCUUGUUGGUGGGGUAGUGGCCUACCAAGGCUUCGACGGGUAGCCGGCCUGAGAGGGUGACCGGCCACACUGGGACUGAGACACGGCCCAGACUCCUACGGGAGGCAGCAGUGGGGAAUAUUGGACAAUGGGCGAAAGCCUGAUCCAGCAACGCCGCGUGAGGGAUGACGGCCUUCGGGUUGUAAACCUCUUUCAGCAGGGACGAAGCGCAAGUGACGGUACCUGCAGAAGAAGCACCGGCCAACUACGUG